AAAGCGAAAAUUCAUUAAGUCUGCGGACCACCUAUGCAAUUGUGACAUCCCCAAUUUCACGACCAGAAAAGACUGAUCUGUUUAUGCUUUUUUUUUUUUUUUAAAUCAGAGUAAUUGUUUAAAGAAAACUGUUGUGGAAUUUUUUCCCAAAACAAAAUAUGAUAAGAAUUUAUCAAGCGUAUUAAUUAAAGAAAAUGUAUUUUCAUUAAAUAAUAAAACCUCAGGAUGUCAUGUUCCGAUACAGACCAAAAGCAUAAACAAUAUAAAAUAGACCUUACAAUAGUUAUUUACAACUACUGAUCUAUAAUCCAAAAUCUCUCAUCAAGUCCACCAACUUAUACCCUUGUGCCAUUACCUGUAAUGAAAAGUAAACUGAGUGGGUCAGGCUUGGGAGCCUAGUGAACAUAUAGGGUUUUCAACCCACAAUAAUAUAAUUAUUAUAUUUAAUCAGCAAACAAUCAACCCAAUUACCCAUCCCCAUUAUCUUCUUUAUUACUUAAGGUUUUACCCUAAGAACCAACUAUCCUUCAUUCAUUUAUUCCUAAGGAUUUACCUAAGGAAUUGGCACGAAGUCCAUUGCUGCCAAAGUUUAUUUAUCAGGUACUAAAUCCAUGGCUAUCAGGUGCUAACUCCAUAGUCACCAAUGUUCACUUAAUAAGCGCUAACUCCAUAGUCGCCAUGGUUUACUUGACAAGCGCUAACUCCAUAGUCGCCAAGGUUUACUCAACGUGCGCUAACUCCAUAGUCGCCAAGGUUUAUACAAUAGGCGCUAACUCCAUAGUCACCAAGGUUUAUACAAUAGACGCUAACUCCAUAGUCACCAAGGUUUAUACAAUAGGCGCUAACUCCAUAGUCACCAACUAUCCCAUCUACCCAUGUUCUACCCAACAUUUUCGUAGAUAUAAUACUUAUACAGUUUAAAUCAUUUAACACCUGUAUAAAACAUCAAUUCCACGCCCGUCUCAAAUAGACAAAUAAUAUAUAAACACAUAGCACGUAUUUCAUAGCAAAUACUUCAUAUUUAUGUGUUAGAAGAAAGUGACUGUACACUCACACAUAUAAACAACAAUAUAUAUACACAUAGCACGUAUUUUAUAAAAUACUUCAUAUCUAUGUGUAAGAUGAAAGUGACUAUACACUCACUUGAUCAGAAGAUGAUCGGACAGCACUACGACUUGUAGAAGUAGUAUUCUUCGGUAGUCUGGAAGAUCUUCACAAAAACCGGGCUCCUCGCGGGCAGGGCUUCGGCACGGGAAUAACUCUCCUCGGGAUCUUUGGGACUUCGAAACUUGCUUCGGGGUUCGGGAAUAACACCUGGGCUUCGGGAUAUAAUUGGCACGCAAAACGAUGCAAAACUUAGAGAGAAAGGAAGAAAAUUAGCAAGGGAAAUGGCUGAUCUCGGGUUCUAUUUAUAGGUUGAUGGGUCUGGGAUUACGCUGGGCGUAAUUUCCAAGUACGCUUGGCGUAAUCUUGGUUACGCUGGGCGUAAUUUCCAAGUACGUUGGGCAUAAUCUUGGUUACGCUGGGCGUACGCUUUGGAUAAGCAUUGGUAUGCGUGCCACGAUCUUCAAAAUUUCAUAACUUUCGCAUAUGAGAUCCGUUUUCAAUGUUCUUUAUAUCCAUGCGUAGUUGAGAUUAAGCUCUACAACUUUCAUUUAGACUUCGUUGGCUAAUUUUGACUUUAUUUUUAUUAUAUUAUUUUUAGUAGGCCGGGACAAGAAAACUCCGUUAUAAAUUCAUAACUUCUUCAUCUGACGUCCGUUUUCGUCUGUCUUUUUUACCGUUGGACUAAUAUUAACAAGAUUUCGAUUCUAGUUUAGAUUGUUUCAGCUAAAAACCGCUCGAUCUCAAAUCGAGUAUUCGGGCUGCAUACCGCUAAGUCGAAACUUAGAAAAAUCAUAACUUCCUCAUACGAAGGCAGAUUCGGACGUUCUUUUCAUGCACGCUCUCGGUUUAACGUAUUCUAUGACUUUCGUUUAGAUCGUUAAGGCUAAAUAUCUCUCUAACAUAAAUUCACUAUUUACGUCGCGCUGUGUCGUGCCGGUUCUGUCGCAAAACUUCGACAGGUCAUAACUUCUUCGUUAUAACUCGGAUUUCGGCGUUCUUUAUAUGUACGGAAUCCUUGUAACAUAUACUACAACUUAGUUAAGAUUAUUGAUUCUAAAUAAUCUUCCAUCAGAAACUCAUUUUUUACCAUUAUCGUCUCUAAAUUGACUAGCCCUGAUCUAUGGGCGGUACAAUUGUCUCCCCCUUAGGAUGAUUACGUCCCGGAAUCAUCAACGAAACAGUCCUUACGAUAAAUUUCCAUCCUAAUUAAUAACCGUGAUUCUUAAUCUUUCAUCUACUUUUCAUACUAUGUUGGACUUUCAAUCGUAACCUUCAAGUUACAAAAUAAAUCAUUAUUGUGGACUCCUUCUUCUUCUUAGGAUAAAUACAUUCCCUUAUCUAUUGUAAAAGACCGAUGAGUCGUGUCCCGAUGACCUCUCAUUGUAGUCGGACUCAAUUUGAUAUGACCACUAGGGUCGGAAUAACAAUCAUCCUACUAGCCAUUACCGAAACAAGGGUAUGACAUAUCUGACUAAAAACGAACUCAAUUACAAGCUUCUUGGUAACCUUGUGACUUUCCCUGAUCCAAGUGCGAGUCUUGUGCUUCCGGUAGUAUAGGCCUCUACUACCAUUCACACCUACUCAUACUCGUCCCAAGUAUUGUCUUGCAGUCCCCAAGUCCUAAAAAUCACAAAACAAUUUAACACAUACGAAUGUGUCCACAUAAUCAUAAACAAUCUCCCUAGACUCUACUAGGACUUCUUCAUUGCGUAUCUUCAAUCAUCAAUCUUGCUUCAACUUGGUUGGCGGUGGAAAGUUCAUCCGAUGGGACAACUUCAUGAAUAACACCAAUAUUCCAUCAUCCCGCCAAUCGAAGGUUUACUUCGGACGUACCGUACUCUUCUAAACGCACCGCUUGACAUAUACUAACGACAAGACACCACUCUUACGAUAUCUUCCGAAAGGUGUCAUUCACUAUCAUAAGCCUUUUUCAUUUCCUCCAUUUACUCAAUCCUCUAUGAGUUUUCACCAUGACAUUAUUUUCACAGAUGCAUGCAUUCAUUGCAUCAAGACGAAAAUAUAGAUAGAGAAGAUUUAGAUGCGUAAUCCUCCUUAUUACUCCGAAAAGUUAUAUGCCAGUUCUAAUAUCGUAAUUAAACGUUUAGAAACCUGAGCACAUAAAAUUUCCAGAUCCGGUCGGCAACAGACCAUAGAUCCGAACAAAUAAUAUCACAUAUGGCAAUCAUAUAACAUUUAGCACCUAAAAGCAUUUAAGGCAUCUUUCUUAAAAUAUACUAGUGCUCGUGUCUAAAAUAUGGUAGACACUCAUCUCACGAUCAUCACUUAGAAUUCUAAGUUUAAGUCUAGAAAUUUCGUACAAAAUUCCUAGUUCGCUUAAAAUAAUGCUCUGAUACCAACUGUGACAUCCCCAAUUUCACGGCCAGAAAAGACCGAUCUGUUUAUGCUUUGUUUUUAAAAUCAGAGUAAACAUUUAAAGAAAACUGUUGCGGAAUUUGUUCCCAAAACAAAAUAUGAUAAGAAUUUAUCAAGCGUAUUUAUUAAAGAAAAUGUAUUUUCAUUAAAUAAUAAAACCUCGGGAUGUCAUGUUCCGAUACAGACCAAAAGCCUAAACAAUAUAAAUUAGACCUUACAAUAGUUAUUUACAACUACUGAUCUAUAAUCCAAAAUCUCUCGUCAAGUCCACCAACUUAUACCCUUGUGCCAUUACCUGUAAUGAAAAGAAAACUGAGUGGGUCAGGCUUGGGAGCCUGGUGAGCAUAUAGGGUUUUCAACCCAC
Molecule: long non-coding RNA, 3844 nt
Filed under: Lactuca sativa (garden lettuce)
Lineage: Eukaryota; Viridiplantae; Streptophyta; Magnoliopsida; Asterales; Asteraceae
Description: long non-coding RNA (LSAT_LNC003769)
Source: RNAcentral